UCCACCUCCUUUUCCUCCCGUUGCUCCUGUCUCUUUCUACCUCCUCGUUGCAGCAUCUAGCUAUGCACUUAGCCUCCCAUCCUACCACCAUAUGAAUAACAGCUACAGCCUCGGCGACAACGCAGCCAGCGCCGUAAGUGUCUCUGUGGCUUGCUGUGGCUGGGGAUGGGGGACAGAGUAGAGUCCCAGAAACUCAGGGAACAUGCAGCCUGCAGGUCUCACAGGGACACUGUGGUCAGUUUAUGCCUGAGAGUGGCUUGGUCCAGGUGGAGGAGGGAUCUCAACAUCUCCAUCCACCCAGUGAGGCCCGUGGGCACAGAAACUCCCUGCCCAGAUGGCAACCCCACUCACAGAGGUCCAGGCUCAGCGGUGACACAGUUUCAAUCAGGUGAACCAGAAUGGAGCUUCUGUGGUUAUUCAUCCCCCACACAUUGGAAAAGCUGUCCUGCACACCUUUGACUGUGGCUGCAGCUGCGACUCCCCCCCUUUCCCCCUUCCCCCACCCCCUGCCCCAUGCCGUGUCUGUCCGCAGCUGUCCCCUUGAUACUGGGUCCCCUCCUCCUGUCCUGCCUGCAGCUGUCCCCCUCCAUACGAGAAUGCCCCCCUCCUCAGUGGUCCAUCACCUGGACACACAUUAAAGACCUGUGUCCGUCAUGGCAUCCCCUGGCCCCUGGUCGGCCCGGCUGAGCUCCGGAGGUGUUGGGGAAUGUUCAGGGGUUCAGAUGGCAGGCUGAACUCCCUCGGGAGGGGGGGUCCAGCAUCAUGACAACAAAGUGGAAGAGGGCAGCAUACAGCGUGUACCUCCAUGGACCAGGAACGAUGGAGCUGGAGUUAGAGUUUCAGAUUUUAGGACAACAGGCUAUGAAGCAGUGAGAUAACUCUGUGCAUACCCUGGUCAGGGUUCACUUUACACUUCUUAUCAAAACUAUCACGAAACAUCUGAAUAAAGCUUCACUUAUCUGCCGGUUAGGUUGGCAAUGACAGUUAGCCACAUUGCUGUGCAGGUUACAGUCUGUUAGGAAUACCUCAUAUACAAUAAGGAAAUCCAUAAAUGUAUCUUAUAUGUUAUAAAUUUAAUGGCUGGACCACAUCUGACCUGAAUUUUCAAUGCUACUGUUGUCAAUACUAAUGUAAUGCAUAAUACUAACAUUAAAAUGAAUAUUUUAAUAAUGAAUAAAUCAUUAUUCUAGAAAAUUCAUUAAUUUUAGCCAAAUAUAAUUAUGCUUACAAGACAUUAAUUUUAUGUGAUGAAAUAGCUGCCUAUGGUCUAUGA
This is a long non-coding RNA of Anguilla rostrata (American eel), 1273 nucleotides long. RefSeq lists it as uncharacterized. The transcript has 3 exons. Lineage: Eukaryota; Metazoa; Chordata; Actinopteri; Anguilliformes; Anguillidae. The record is from RefSeq and is a predicted model, not a curated record.